CACUCUACUAUUUUUUAAUUCGUUGAUCACGAGUAAUCCAAUUUUAAGUUUCUUUGAAGUCUCAUUCAGAGUCUUUUAAAUUACUCUAGCUUGGAAGUCUAAGUUUGGUGAUCAUAUCCGGUGUGGUUCCAAAGACUGUUAUUCGAGUAAGUAAAUCUGCUAAUUUAGGAUAUAUAUUGAUAAAUAAAGGCCUGAAUUUCUUAUGUGUUUGCCUCUCUCAAACCCUACUUCAUCAUCCUCUUCCGAAAUUCGAGAUUCUGAAACAGAAAUUCCGUGUUUCAAACCCUACUUCAUUAUAACGCCCUAUGUGUGUUUAGUUUCUCCUUCUACGUGUUUCUCUAAUUCUACCAAUCUGUUUCGAAUCUCUUUAUUAAUAAAUCGAAAGUCUGGAAUUCGAAUUGGUAUACUAUCUAGUUGAUUAUGAUUUUGUGUAACUCGGUUUCAAAGGUUCGUGAAGAUUUGGAGUUUCUAAUGCCACGGAGAAGAAGCUGUACAGAGAGAACUUGAUUUACCAGCUCGAGGUGAUUUUUAUUGUGCUCGAGGAUUGCUUGGGCAGGGAGAAGAUCAAAUUGAAAGAGAUGCACAUGUUAAGAAGAUACUGUUGCUUCCAUAGUUUUGAGAGUGUGCAGCUAGAAGAGGUGAGACUGGUGAUGGUGGAUAAGCUGGUGGUGAUUUGCAGAACAAAGAUGGUGUUGUAGCUGCUGUUGAAGUAAUUAGGUAUCAAUAAGAAGUUCUGUGGUUGUUGCUUUUGAUAAUUUAAUGGUUUGUUUCCAGGGAUUGUAACUUACUGAUGAUAUCAAAGGUAUGCCAAUGCCCAAUAAAUAGUGAGUUUUUGCUUUUUACUAUGCAAGCAGAAUUAGCCAAUUAGCAAAACAUUUUUGAAUGCAAGCCUAUGGAGUGAAUUUAACGAGAUGGCGAUGGAGUUAUUAUUUACGAUAUGCUAAGUCUGGAUUGCAGUGGAGAUGCUGGAGGAGUGUUUUGAUUCAUUAUGAAUUGGAUACUCAUUAUGUCAAUAAGGUUGUCAUUUAUUCAGUUUUUUGUUGGCAGUGUUUUUUUUUGUCUUGCAUCAUUAUCUUUAUAAUAUACCGGUUUAUAUAGUAUACAUGCUGUUGGGAAAUCGAUAUAUCCCUUAGACAGUAAAAACUCGGUUUAUAUACAUUUAAUUGACAUUCAAACAAUGAAACUCAGUUUGAUUUGUCCUUUUUGGUGAAUUACUUGCAGGCUUACAUGGCUUGCAUUAUGCAAGAUCAUUGGUAAGUCUCUAUUUACAGGAUAUCCAAUUACUGUUAUGUUUUGCAUCGAAUUUCAAAGCAUAUUGAUCACAUCUUAAUUCUGAUAAUAUUGCUUUUAGAACUGAGCAAUGUUGAUCUAGCGACUCAUAUAGUCUCACUCUAUGAAUUUUUUCUGGAUAUGAGUUUCUUUUGAGUGAUUAAACUGGAAAAUUAUCAAAAUUGUAGCAUCCAUAUCACAUUAACAUUGUUAAGAAAAAAAAUGUGAAUGUAGUGUGUACCUUCAGGGCAUGUUAAUGAUUUCAAUUGCAGAGAAACAAUAACAGAGGCAACUGCGAAGAAAGGUAACUUUAAUAUGCCCAGUAAUAUUUGCUCGAGCUUGGGUUCUUUAACUCCUCCAGUCACAGAUAUACAGUUACCUCUUGAAAUUGGGCUGAAGUUUUAUUCGCAUUUCCAUUAUAUAUUUCAGUAGUUAAUAAUUUUAUUCGCACUUACACCAUUCUCACUGGAACCAAGUACCUGACUGGAGAUUAACUUUGGAGAUACCACAUCGGCAUUACUUUGAUGUGUAUCUUGAGCAGUAUUCUGAUAGCUUCUAUUUUUUAGUUCAACAUUACAUUGUUCAUGCUCAUGAAAUGAAAAUGUGAAGAAAUGUGAGACCUACUUCUAUGAUCAGGAACUAUCUUAAUUGGGAUAUUUUUGCAGUAUUGCAACUAUCUGUAUUUUAAGGAUUCUUCUUUGUAGAAAAUGCUCACGGAUGGUAUGGCAGAAGCGUUGUGUUUGAAAUAAAAUGAAGUGGCAAGCUCCAAAUACAUGUUCAGAUCCUUCAGAGACAAAAAAAAUGCAAGGCUUGAGAGUAGUAAUCAUUUUCAAGGUACAUGACAUGCAGAAAAUGACUGUAAAAAUGAUUAUUGAUUAUCAAGAGUAGUCAAUUAAGGAUGCUCCCUUCCUUUUAACAUUAUUCUUUUGUCCUGUGCAUGUAUUGACUGCACUAGAUGAUAAACUUGGCAUAGAAUUCUUAAUUUUGUGAGUUAUUGUUGCUGGGCACACAAUCCGUGAUCCAUAUUAUCAUUGCAACUGUAUGAGUGAAUUCAUGUGUCUA
Molecule: long non-coding RNA, 2331 nt
Organism: Papaver somniferum (opium poppy)
Lineage: Eukaryota; Viridiplantae; Streptophyta; Magnoliopsida; Ranunculales; Papaveraceae
Exons: 4
Source: RefSeq, a predicted model, not a curated record